ACCCUGCCUACAGUCUACACUUACCUCUCAUCUCUGAUCUAUAUUAGCAAUAAGAAUUGAGUUUCUUAGCCCAGGCACGGUCACUCAUGCCUAUAAUCCCAGCAUUUUGGGAGGCCGAGGUGGGCUGAGGUCAGAAGUUCAACACCAGCCUGGCCAAGAUGGUGAAACCCCAUCUCUACUAAAAAUACAAAAAUUAGCCAGAUGUGGUGGUGCAAGCCUGUAAUCUCAGCUACUCGGGAGGUUGAGGCUGGAGAAUUGCUUGAACCUGGGAGGAGGAGGUUGCAGUGAGCCAAGAUUGUGCCACUAUACUCCAGUCUGGGUGACAGAGCAAGACUCCGUCUCAAAAAAAAAAAGACUAGAGUUUCUCAGAAUGAGUUCUGUGGACCACAGGCAUUGCUAUGGUUUGAAUGUGUCCCUUUUAAAAUUCAGGUAUUGCCAAUUUGGUAGUAUUACAUGGUGGGGCCUUUAAGAGGUGAGUAGGCUAUGAGGGUUCCUUUCUUGUGAAGGGGGUUGGUGCCCUUACAAGAGGAUGGGAUGGUGGGAGUUUAUCUCUUUUCUCCCUUUUGCCUUGCAUCAUGUGAAGACACAGCAUUUAUCCUGUCCAUAGGGCACAGACUUCAAGAUGUCAUCUUGGAAGCAGAGACUGGACCUUCACCAGACUCAAAACCUACCAGUACCUUGAUCCUAAACGUCUUUCCCGGCUCCAGAACUGUGAGAAAACACUUCCAAGAUAUGACGAGAGCGACUUUCCAUUUAUCUUCUAUGGAAAUUCAUUCUGCAGGAGUGGCACUGUCAGCUUAAGAGACACAAGCUAUUGUCUUGCAGCUAAAAAAAAAAAGGUAUUACUGCUUUCUGUACUUAUUAUAUGGAAAGACAAAAGCUAAUUCAUUGUUAACGUUUCUGUUUGCCAGAGACAGAGAAGUACUAUCUCAUGUUCUUUUACAAAAGUUUGGUUAAUAUUGUGAGGAGAUAUUUGGCCUUUAUACAGGUAAAACUUGUGGAAGGAUGAGAGGGAUAUGGGAGGUACAGUGAGUACUGAAACCCUGAAGAGUUUGUAUUGCAAAGAAUGCAAAAUUUAACUGACUAAAGUAACACACAAAUAACCAUUAUCUAUUCAUUUACAAGUUCCUGUGUUUAUCAUUUAUUUUUAACCUUAGGCUUGUAGACUCAACCUACAAAAGCUGUCAGUUCAGUCACUACAAAACAAAAACCAAAUGAAAAGCUAGAAGCUUACAAUUUAUAUAUAGGGGCACUAGGUAGCAGAAUUUGCCUCAGUCAUAUACACUUGAUGUUAUUCAUCAAUUAUCUAGAUUAAAGUUAGAAACUUUAUUUUACAUUAUUAUUAAAGAAUAUAUCAAAGCAGAUUAAUAUAAAUAAGACAAAAUGGAGAGUACAUUCAAUAUGGUUUUUGAGAGUAAUAGUUAAGCUUUGUACCUUACAUCCACGGUAUAAUGCAUACUUUCACACCAACUUCUAGUAUUUACUUCUUAGAUAGAAAAUUCUAGCUCCUUUAUUUAAUUUCAGAAUCCCAACACUUGGUUCUAGGCCAAUAUUACUUUAUUUGGAACCAAAAAAUGUGUACACUCUAUUAGAAUUAUUUGCAAAGUUUAUCUUCAAUAUAUAUUCUCUCAUUUAACAUUGACCUAAUUACUGGCUAUAAGGAAUACGCUUUUCUGUGUUUCCCUCCUCCCUCUUUUCCAAAUACCAUUUUUCUCAGUAUUACAGAAGCAGAAUGGGAAUAAUCUUAUUAAACACCUCUGUGCCAAGUUUUCUACUGCCAUUGCCCUCACACUAUCUAAUGUGCAGUAGGGCAAACCAUGUAACAUCUGCGGAUGUCCCUAUCUUCAGGAAGUCUUGAAGCAUAGAGAGGAGGCUAUAUUCUAGAAUUGCUAAGGUCCCUUAUGGUUUAAGGUAUAUGAUUCAAGAGAAGAAAAUAUGCUUUUCCUUUAUGGAAGAGAACAAUUUCUCAUAUCCAUUUUCAUCCAUCCAUGCUAGAUGGAUAUUACCGUGAUUUCUCCAUAUCAUGAUAUAAUACUUUGAAAGCAGUAAUGCACCCAUACAGUUAGUCCUUGGUAUUGAGUUUUCAGAAAUUCUUUUCAGAAAUGGUUUGUACAUGCGUAUCCCACAUUAGUAUAAUGAUCUAUUUAUGAGUCUGUUUUCUCUAAUAUUCCUCAAAACACAUUAGAUCAAGGAACACAGUGUUUUGUAUUUUGAUUCCAUUAUGGUACUUAUAAUCAGUGAUGACUAAGGUUUCAGGGAGAACAGCAUAUUUUUAUAACAAGUUUAGAGAAGCACGCAGAACCUGGAGUAAGUACAGACUUCAUUGUUGACCUAAUCUGUAAGAACAUUCUCCUUACAGGUUUUUCCAUGAGGUCUGUAUAAAACGGUACUUAAAAAUAGCAAUGUAUUUAUUUAUUAAUUGUGUGUUUCCCAUAUUCUUCACAGGCCUACCUGACUACUAUAAGAAUUUGGACUGAAAAAAAGGAAUUAAAUUUACUACUUAGUGUUUCUAUAAUUCGAACCCAAAGAACAAACUAUUAACCCAAAUGAUAUGAUCAAGAAAGUUCCUAUUUUUCAUGUAGGUUUUUGAGAUGCUGGAAAUAGCUUUUCAGUCUCAUUUCAACUGAAAAUAUCUUGAGGGCCUAUAUAACCAAGGUGGAAGCCUAUCAUUUAUCAGAGUAGAAAACUAAGGUUAGUAAUUUACUAAAGGUAACAAGAGUAACCAGUGGUAGUAUCACAUGUCUCCUCCCUAUUGCCUGUCUUCAGUCCUAGAAAAAUAGGAAGUCAUCGUAAACUUCUUGUGAUCUCUUGGAUCUUCUGUGAACUCUUGGAUUAUCCUCAUAUAUAUGUCACCUCUCCUCAAUAAACAGACAACUCUACUGUAUUAUUAGUUCAGUGUCUCUUCAUUUUUUUCUCCCCCAGCUUUUUGUUGGUCUUCCUGACCGUUGGUCUUUAACAAACUCUUCCAAAAUCACCUCUGACCUCCCCUUGAAAUUAUGCAGCUUACCACUGUGUUCCCACAGCACAUUCUUUUCAUGAUAGUAAUGUUGACUGUACAUUAGUAUAAUGAUUUAUUUAUGGGCUCAUUUUCUCUAAUAUUCCUCAAACCACAUUAGAUAGGGGAACACACUGUUUUGUAUUUUGAUUCUGUUAUGGUGUUUGUAAUCAGUGAUGAAUAAAUAUAUGUGGGCUAUGUGUCCAUACAAAAUGAAGGUGAGUAGGAUUAUUUAAACAUUUGGCAGUUGGGAGAAGCAUGGACUUUCUCACUAUUUUUCCAAAUGUGAUCCUACAGGAGUAUUCUUUGUAUCUUGGUGAAGAUAAGUUGAACAAUAGCAACAAGUCCUGGUUCCAAUACUUGGAUAUAAAUUGAUGAAAGCCAUUUUUCAAAGAGGAAAGUUUUCUACUGUAUUAUUUAAGAAACAUUAGGGAUUUGAGAGGAGGAGUAAAUUUAUUUUUGGUUUAAAGCGACAAUUUUCCAGAGCAUAGUGGCUCAUACCUGUAAUCCCAGCACUUUGGGACACUGAGGCAGGAGGAUCACUGGAACUCAGGAGUUUGAGACCAGCCUGGGUAACAAAGUGAGACCCUGUCUCUACAAAACAAAAAAAAUAUUUUAUCUGGAUGUGGUGCCAUGCACCUGUAGUCCCAGCUACUCAGAAGGCUAAGGCAGGAGAAUUGCUUGAGCCCAGGAGGUCAAAGCUGCAGUGAGCUGUGAUUGUGCCACUGCACCCCAACCUUGGUGACACUGUCUUGAAAAAUAAUAAUUUCAAGAAUUGUAACUUCCAUACACAUACUGUGAGACCAUACUUCAGGGGUGUAAUUUAUGUUAGAAUCCUGGAUUGGAAGGGCUGCUGGAGCACUGUUAGUGAUGUCUCUCAGAUAGCUCCACAUCAUCUGUGCUCUUCAUCUGUGUGUUAGCACACUGGAUGUGAGAAAACAAAGGUUCCUCUGAGUUACCUUCCAGUGCACUGUUUUUCAGUUAAUGUGCCUUUUUAUUCCCUCUAUGUCAAAUGUGCUUCUGACUUCUAUGCCCAAUAUGUAAGAAUGUAUGUUUAUACUUCCUUGUUUCCUACAGAUUUUUCUAAUCUUUGAAGUCCCUAUUGCCUGGUAGAAUUAGGUAAAUUCUUUGUCAAACGUCUUCAAGUUUAUCAAGAAAAGCUGUUGUGAAAAAAACC
Molecule: long non-coding RNA, 4172 nt
Filed under: Callithrix jacchus (white-tufted-ear marmoset)
Lineage: Eukaryota; Metazoa; Chordata; Mammalia; Primates; Cebidae
Description: lncRNA (ENSCJAG00000071900.1)
Source: RNAcentral